Exaiptasia diaphana is the source of this 938-nucleotide long non-coding RNA. RefSeq lists it as uncharacterized. NCBI's taxonomy places the organism in Eukaryota, Metazoa, Cnidaria, Anthozoa, Actiniaria, Aiptasiidae. The record is from RefSeq and is a predicted model, not a curated record. The transcript is spliced from 5 exons.
GACGACACACAUCACGUGUAUCACGACAUCACGACGUACGCGUGACACUGUUUGGUUGACGUACRCAUUGGUUGUAUCGGAGGAAAUAUGGAACUUUGCAUCGGAACAAAGCUACUUUGAAACAUUUAGAAGGCUAAACUAUAUCUUAAAUUGUCAGUAAGUUAGAUACAGAAGUAAAAAAGGACCAGAAAGCCAAUUCGUGAGCGAAUGUUGACCUACUUCUGAAUGUUGUGAACUCCAUUUUCCACGUGAGAACUGUCUCGUUCACAACACUCGAAAGGAGGACUUCGAAGAAGUUAACCUUAAUAGAUGAAACAUUUGUUAUUAAAAAAUGUCUUACACUGAGGGAACAUGGAGCAGUACACCCUAAAUAAGAUGUCCACCUCUCCCAGGCUUGUUCCCGGUGGAAAUCACACAGAUACAUACUAGUACGUGGUCAUGGUACUUCUUUUUUGCAGCAACAUUGCGGUCUUUCCSAUGCUGACACUCCAUCAGUUUCUCGCCCAGUAUUAUGUAAGGCCAUAAAUCUCAAAUGAGCUGAAUGCAAUUCAAAAGUAGAGAUCAAAUUAUAGACUGUAGUUAUGGAUUUGACACAUGUAUUAUAUUCAAAGCCUUAGAAUCUUAAAAUAAUAUUCAAAUAUUUAAUAUUUAAGAUUAAUUAAGCUUUUAACUUAUAUGUCAGCARCGAAAAUAAUAUAAAGUCAGGGUAGCUGUAUUUUCGCUCAUAUAAUAAAUAUUGAUUUAACCUUUCAUUCAUGAGUAAAUGAAUGAAUGAGUGAAGGGAUAAAUGAAUUUCWAAUUGGAUUCAAUGGGCAUGAAUUAGGCUUUGCUGACAUACAAGUUAAGUUUUGCCAAUGAGCAGAAAACUGAUUUUAAAAGGACAAUCGAACGAAAGUGACAUAUCAAAAAGAUAAUGUACUUCUCAAAUAGAGAAAUAA